Molecule: ribosomal RNA, 589 nt
Filed under: uncultured bacterium
Lineage: Bacteria
Description: partial 16S ribosomal RNA
Rfam family: Bacterial small subunit ribosomal RNA
Source: RNAcentral
UGGGGAAUCUUCCGCAAUGGACGAAAGUCUGACGGAGCAACGCCGCGUGAGUGAAGAAGGUUUUCGGAUCGUAAAACUCUGUCUUUUGGGGCGAACGUGAGUAUGGUGAACAAUCAUAGUCAGUGACGGUACCAAAGGAGGAAGCCACGGCUAACUACGUGCCAGCAGCCGCGGUAAUACGUAGGUGGCAAGCGUUGUCCGGAAUUAUUGGGCGUAAAGAGCGCGUAGGCGGGAUAGUCAGUCUGUUGUAAAGUGCGGGCUCAACCCCGUGAUCGCAAUGGAAACAGCUAUUCUUGAGUGCAGGAGAGGAAAGUGGAAUUCCCAGUGUAGCGGUGAAAUGCGUAGAUAUUGGGAGGAACACCAGUGGCGAAGGCGACUUUCUGGACUGUGUCUGACGCUGAGGCGCGAAAGCCAGGGGAGCGAACGGGAUUAGAUACCCCGGUAGUCCUGGCCGUAAACGAUGGGUACUAGGUGUGGGAGGUAUCGACCCCCUUUCCGUGCCGGAGUUAACGCAAUAAGUACCCCGCCUGGGGAGUACGGUCGCAAGACUGAAACUCAAAGGAAUUGACGGGGUCAUAGCUGUUUCCUG